ACUCGGAUACCCGUAGUAAUUCUAGAGCUAAUACGUGCGUACAUCCCGACUUCUGGAAGGGACGUAUUUAUUAGAUAAAAGGCCGACCGGGCUUGCCCGACUCGCGGUGACUCAUGAUAACUUCACGAAUCGCAUGGCCUUGCGCCGGCGAUGUUUCAUUCAAAUUUCUGCCCUAUCAACUUUUGAUGGUAGGAUAGAGGCCUACCAUGGUGGUAACGGGUGACGGAGAAUUAGGGUUCGAUUCCGGAGAGGGAGCCUGAGAAACGGCUACCACAUCCAAGGAAGGCAGCAGGCGCGCAAAUUACCCAAUCCUGAUACAGGGAGGUAGUGACAAUAAAUAACAAUACCGGGCCUUUGGUCUGGUAAUUGGAAUGAGUACAACCUAAACACCUUAACGAGGAUCAAUU
RNAcentral lists this ribosomal RNA (407 nucleotides) under uncultured picoeukaryote. RNAcentral describes it as "SSU rRNA". It matches the Rfam family "Eukaryotic small subunit ribosomal RNA", at positions 137 to 549 of the family's 1831-position model. The record is from RNAcentral.